Molecule: long non-coding RNA, 866 nt
Filed under: Ficedula albicollis (Collared flycatcher)
Lineage: Eukaryota; Metazoa; Chordata; Aves; Passeriformes; Muscicapidae
Description: lncRNA (ENSFALG00000024973.1)
Source: RNAcentral
CCUGCGGGACAUCCACAGAAGUUCCAUGUAACUGGUGUCCCAGACAAGUCAUAUUUUCUGUGAGUCAGCUCUGAGUGGUGAGUGCUGGGGACUGGGAAAGGCCUGCACUGUCACAGCCAUGCAGUGUGCACAGGAAUGCACUGCCACAGGGACAACCUGCAGUGGCCACACCUGUGUGUCUAUCUGUCUGAAAAAUACCCUACCAGUUCUGGUUAGGCAGUACUUUUCAGGCAGAAAUAGGAUCUCUUUGUGAGGUAAAGGCUGUCAAAAGAGUAUAUACAUACAGGCUGUAUUCCAAUGAUGGAUAAAAAAAGAUAGCUUUCACAAGAUCAGGAAUAGUAAUUCUCCAAGCUGGAGGUGAUCCUGCCUUCAGAACAAGCUGUCUCACAUGGUCUUUGGGAAGGAAGCCAUGAUGAUGAUGGACAUGCAUCAAGCUAUCCCUGAAAAGCAGCAGGAGGGGAAACAUAUCACUACCAGUUGGAUGAGGAGAAGGAUGUCUUGAACAUCUGAAAGGAUUGUGUGAAAAAUACCAUAAAUACUACUAUGAACUCCAUGGGACACAACCUUGAGGCGCAAACAAAGUUGAGUCCCACACAUCCUUUACCUGUCCUUUGCCAUAAACACAUCCUGAAUAAACUAAGGACAUGGCUGAACUUUCUGAAGUCACAGGACUAUGGUUGCAUCUACAAUGUGGAGAACAGAGAAUACACCAGCUGAUCAGACAGAUCACUACACCUGUGGUCUAGGAGAAAAGGUGCCAGCCAGAAAGGUCUUUGGCUCCAGCCCCAGGCUUUCAACUAUUAGAGUGAGCAAUGCCAGACUUUUGUUUUCCUGUCAGUUGUUUUUCCCCUUUUUCAGAGUGAGCA